Mercurialis annua (annual mercury) is the source of this 386-nucleotide long non-coding RNA. RefSeq lists it as uncharacterized. The transcript has 2 exons. The record is from RefSeq and is a predicted model, not a curated record. Lineage: Eukaryota; Viridiplantae; Streptophyta; Magnoliopsida; Malpighiales; Euphorbiaceae.
UUUAGGAUACAUAGCACGUAAAAAGGGUGUGGCUAUAAGUACUGCAAAUAAUGAUCAAGUUGCAGAACUUAGGCGUCAAGUAGCAGAAAUGACUGAUCGGAUACAAAUGCAAGAACGACUCCAUAAAGAAUUCUUGGAAAGACUCGAUAGUAUGCAUAAUGGAUUUCAGUUUACAAAUAGUCAAGUUGAUUCGGAUAACAUGUGAUUAGGCGGAGCAGUGGCAUAAUUUUCAUGAAGAUUAUGAAAUCAAGUUAAUGUUAUUUUUAUUUUUUUAUACAUUUUUAUCUUACUGCAUUUUUUUAGAUAGUUUUUGGUAGAUUUGUUUUUAACAUUUAUUUUUUAUGUUAGACAUAAUUUUUAGUUUCAGUGGAUUAUUGUUUGUUCGA